Crotalus tigris (Tiger rattlesnake) is the source of this 5912-nucleotide long non-coding RNA. RefSeq lists it as uncharacterized. NCBI's taxonomy places the organism in Eukaryota, Metazoa, Chordata, Lepidosauria, Squamata, Viperidae. The record is from RefSeq and is a predicted model, not a curated record. The transcript is spliced from 3 exons.
UCUCAUCACGGCCGUCCCUCCGCGCAUGCGGAGAGAGUCGUGACGUCACGCGUGCCGUGGCGUAACCUCGUCAGUUGCAAGUCUGACCCCCUGCAAGUAUCUUGGGAUUCCUUGCAGACUUUGUUACCAGGUCCGUCACUUUGCUCCCAGGAUUCAGGCAUGCCACGUUUUUUUAUCUGAUCUGGUGUUGGACGUCACCAAACAAUUCCGGAUGGACUAAAGGCCAAUCAGAUUUCUCCAGUAAGUUUCUCUCAAGACAGACUGUGCUUCUAGUGGAUUGAAUGCAGUUAAUGAAAUUCAUGAAUAAAUGGAACUGGUUCCUUUGCAAGUAUGCAGUAUUUCUGCCUUCUUUAAAAAGCAAUUUAUCUUUAUUGGUUAAUUCCUUGAACUGAAAAUAAUAAACCACAACAUCUCACUCACAAAGAGAAACAAUUAAAAAAGUGAUAGCAAUGUCACAAUAUAUAUUAUGUCCCCAGAUUAUGUCCCCCGCCCAAAUUCAAAAUGCUGUGAUCUCAGGAACUCUGUCUGUGAACCAGGAUCUACUAGAACACGUCGAACUCCAUCAGCACAGCCAUUGCCCGUUGCUGAAAACCAAACCAAGAGGGCUGCUCAAGCAAGCAAGAAAAGGUUCGGGUUCAAGGCUGAAGACAGGAUGGUCCAGAAAACAGGACUCUAUUGUAAAUUUACUUCCUUGAGAGAAAAUCGGUCCAUUCAUGUUGCUUAAAGGUUAAUUACCCAAGGAAGAAUCUGCUCUGAGAACUGCCAGCAACAAGCAAAGUGAGGCACCGGAUUUUGGAGCUUUUGUUUGAGGAGGAGAAACCUCCUACCAGUAGCCAUAUAGUUUUCAAAAAUGUCUUACUAUUAGUUUUAGCCUUUCAGCUCUGUAUCCAGUUUUGAAUAGGUCUACUUGUCCAAAAUUUUCCUUUUCCCACAAAGAUGCCUCUUGAGAAGCUCUUCUCUAAACCACACUUGUAUAUCAAAGGCAGAAGGUCUCACUGAUUGCUCUUCUGCUGUAUUUCCCCUUUUGGUUGCUGGCCUUGUUUGAGAUUUAUUUUAGUAUCCCUGUCUUUCUGCCUUUUUUAAUUAUUGUUUUGUUCAGGGCUGUUAUUAGAAAUUGGACUUUUAAAUUUACACUGCAGUUCUUCACAAUACAUUUGGGAGUAACUAUCCUCAGAUAUAUGCCACUGAAUUCAGAAGAAAUUUUCUCUUGGUAGUAAAAGGAGGUUUACAUUAAUUUUUCUCCCGUUGAGUUCUAUUGUUAGCCAUCUUGGAAGUUUUAUAUAAAAAGAAGAAUGUAGGUGACCUAGUUAAUGAUGCAAAGUCUGUAGCCACAAAAAGUAAUUGUCCCGUUAUUGUUGCAUCUGGGGCUGAUGACCACUGAAUUGUUAAUUAUGAUUUUGGAUCAAUUACUCUUGUUAAAGAUGCAGGUGUUCUUCUGGACUACAUCCCCAGUCCCAGUGAGACUCUUGGACCUCCUCAGGUUCACGCUGACUUUCCUGUCCUAAUGGUGCAUCCAUCUCUACCCUUCUGCCAUAGAUUCAACGCAGCUGCCAAUGAAUUGAAGAUGGGGAGAGCGCAAGGGCUUUCCAAGUUCAGUAUCAAAAGGGGCGGAGCUUUGUUCAUGUGGUCACACCUUGAUGGUUUUUAGACUCUCCCCCCCCCCGGCUAUUGGCUGGCCUACAGGGCUCAAUUCUUGGCAACAAAAGCAGGUGAGAACAACAGCAAUUGCGUUAUCUGUCUGUCGGGUUUGACAAAGGACUUCCUUUCUGCCACAUGAUAGUCAUGCACUUUACCAUGUAUAGCUCCUUGCUACGCUCUCUAGUACAGCCAAUUUCCCACAUCACCAUCUUUGAGGGAAAAAAAUCUAAAUGGGAGAAAAAUCAGUUCUUAUAUCAGAUUCUACAGCAAGAUGCUGUGCCCAGCAGUGUUUAAAACCAAUGGAGUGGACCUCCAGCUGCAGGAAAUCUGUGGAAAUGUGAUCCAGAUAAUUGGGUCACCUAAGAACGUCUGGGACUACGUGGCAUCUCCUUCUAAUUUCUCACUUAACAAAGCUCUCUUUGCAACAAGCUGCUAUUUGGAUCCAUUUUCAAUAUUCAGAAAAGUUUUUAUGAGGGAAAUCGCAAACCAGGACACAAAUGAAAAACUCUAUUCUGUUGGCAAAGAUGUUGUCCAAGCUGCACAUUAGGAAUAGCAAAGACAAGCUGUCCUGGGCUCCCUUAACUGCUGGCACUGAGAAAUAUUCGGAGUGGUCUACAGUUUCAAGUAAAAUCUUGCUCACCUGCUGACCUUGACGAGCGAAGGAUCUGUCACAGAGGUCCCCAGUUCCUCAGCCAGGGGCAGGAGGGGAGCAGCGUUGGUCCAAGAAGUGUGCCAGCUUUAUACGUUUCUUAAAUGAUCAUGUUAUUUAUCGGAUUUCUCUCCCGCUUUUCUUAUUAAGUCAAGGUGGCGAACAUACAUAACUCUCCUCCCUCUUUUUUUUCCACACAAAAACUCUGUGAGGUGGCUUGGGCUGACAGAUACAGACUGGCCCACCUGUCCAUUUCUGACUUAAUUUAUUGCUAUAGGGGUAGCUCCUCAGUGACUCUGCACAGUUAGGACCGACUUUAUCACUCGGAUUCAAAGUUCCAACAGUUAUCCCCCCCCCCAGCUUUGUGACCGAAUUUCAGGUGCUCAGCAACACAGUUACUGUACAUUUAUGGCCAUUUGCCUCAACCUGCAGUCACAUGACCAUAGGUUUUGCGAACCAUUGGUUGACUUAUCAAGUACGGUGUUUGCAUAGCAACCACAGAUUCACUUAACGGCCACUGCAAAAAAGUUAUAAAGUCAUUUAAAAAAUCAUUUUUCAAACAUUACGGCUUACAACUAUGAUAGGAAGAUCCAUUAUGUCAAGGAAUACCCCUACUCUUCUUGGGGACUCACAGCAGGCAAGAGAGGGUCCCAGAUGUAGAUGGACGCUCAUCAGGGAGAGAAGCAAGCUAGAACUAAGGAGAAAUGUCCGGACAGUGAGAACAAUCAACCAGCGGAAUGGCUUGUCUCCAGAAGUGGUGGGUGCUCCAUCAAGAAGAGACUGGACAAUCACUUGUCUGAAAUGGUACACAGGGUCUCCUGCUUUAGCAAGGGGUUGGACUAGAAGACCUUCAAGGUCUCUUCCAACUUUAUUCAGCAGAAAAGGAGAAUGGAGGAGAGGAAAUAAAAGUCAGGAACAUUCACCACAAUCCUACAUGUCCAGUUGGUCAGAAAUGUCCAGAGAUUGAGCCCCGCUUACAAGGAAGAGUCAUUGUCAGAUUAGCUCCUCUAAGGAAAUCCAUGCCGUCGUCGUUGCUAGGAGAUCCCAGACAUUUUCUUUCUCGGCCGCCCAGGGGCAUCUGCAAUGCCAAACCCUGGAAGACGGUGGGCACAGCAUUGCAAGUGAAGCCCCCUCCCUUUCUAAAUCUGAAUGAACCCAGAUACCUCGACACCUUUUUUAAAAAAAAAACUUUGUGGUAAAACACGUUAAAAUAAAUUACAUUGGUUGAGCAGUAGCUAGAAUGAAAAUUGGGAAAUGAUUAUUUUGUCAAACUCGGCCUGAGAAAGGCUCCCAGUUCUGCUAUGUUCCACCAGCCGUUUCCGUCAGAUUAUAAUCAUCCCUUGGAGUCUGGCUCUGGCCCAGCAGGCUCUUCUGAAGGGGCCUUCCGUGGAUUCCUGCCUUAUUCUGCUCCUAAUUAAUUGAUGUUCUUAACGUUCAGUUGAUCUUGUUCCUUUCACUCAUUUAUAGGGAGAGAACAGCAAGAUAACAUAAAGUUGAAUUGCAUAUAAAUGUAGCUUUCUGUUGCUUGUUAAUCUUCUCUUGUGGUUUCCGUCCCAAGAACAAACAAGUGCUCACCUAACUGUCUGGUUUACUCACAAUCCCUCCAAACAUCAGGUCGGUGUUUCUCAACCAUCUGUCCCAAAGGGUACAGGGUUUCCUGCCUGAGCAGGGAGUUGGACUAGAUGACCUCCAAGGUCCCUUCCAACUCUGCUAUUCUCUUAUGCUGAUCUUGCUUUCCAGAUGUACACCAGAAAGUAAUAUUUUAAUCUGGUCUUCGUGCUCCUCCCAAUGGAGUCCGAGCAAAGCCGACUUCAUUUAUUCUGACUUUACACUUUCAGCUAAUUUAGUGAAAUUUGAACACCCUCGUCCUGUACCUUGUAGAAACAAGAAACUGCUUUGGGUAGCUUAGCCCCCUCCAGAAAACAAUCCUAUGAUAAUCUGCCAUUUCAACAAAAGUGUAAUAUGGGAAGAAAGGCAAUGCUGUUUUUUUAAAGCACUGUUGAGUGUUUACUUUAAAAUCAAAUAAUACCAUUUGAAAUUCCAAAUAAAAAGGAAGUUUGGUAUCUAAAUUGCUCUACCCAAGCUCAAAAAAUAGUAAUAUGAAUUAAUGAUUGACCUGAGGUUUAUUCAUCUGUUUGCUCUGGUAUUCAUAAAAAUGCACAGUUGCCUUAGCAACCAGUACAUCAUACAGAUUUUCAUCUAUCCUUGAUCUAAAGUGCACUCUCUUAAAGAAAGGCACACAGUUUCUCAUGAGAACGCUUUCCCCCUUUCUCCCACCCUUGUUUGGAAAGGAAGAAGUAAUGAAUUGGCCAUUCUUUAAUGGGCCCAUUUUGAUUUUUUCUCGCCUCGGCAAACAGUCUCUGAUGGAGAAAUGUUGUGCAGUUGCUUUCUGAAAGACUCUAGCAGCACCGUCCUUCGCUUGAUGUUCAGAAUGUCGCUGAGUCUUCUGAAGCACAUUGCCUGGACAUCAGUGGACAUGGAACUGAAAUUGCAGUGUGAACUGGGGCCUUUGCCCGUGUUUAUGGGGUAGGACUUGGGGUAUGUGUUCAUAGCCACCAUCUUGACUUUUCUGAUACACAAGGAGGCCUCUUGAUUUAAUCAACAUCUCUUCUCACAGAUGUAUUUUACCUGUUUACAGCAAGAAAACGUUUGAGACACGAACUGCAUUGACAAGGACAAUAAGGCAGGACGCCUGAGGUUAAGCUCCAUGCAAUUGCCAGCACAUCAAUCAGCCCUAUUCUGCUUUUGCCUAUUCCUACAGCGACUAAAUCCGUGUUUGUCAGCCUUGACAAUUUUAAACUGUGUGGACGUCAACUCCCAGAAUUCCAUAGCUAGCAGGCUGUCUGAGGAAUUCUGAGAGUUGAAGCCGAUAUAGCUUUUAGGGCCCCAACCUAACAGCAAAAUUGACCCAGGCAGAUUAAGAAAUAUCUGCAGUUCCCACAUUCGCACUACUAGCCAUUCAUCUAAAAUGACUCAUUUUCCAUUUGUGGAAGCUUUCUGCUUCUCUGUACUGACAAGAAUCAUUUGAUUAAGUUGAUCACCAGUGGAUGCUUAAAGCCCCCAAAGAGAUCUUUUACCUUUUUAAUGUCAAAACGUAUCACUGAAUUAAAAAAUUAUGAGAAAUUGUACUAUGUAUCUGGUGUCUCAAUAUCAAACUAAUCAUUCUUGUGGGACUCACAUGUACAGCUGCCAUAUUUCACAUAUAUUUUGCACAACAAUAAAUUUCUACUCUUAAAACUCAAACCUGCAUUCAUUAAAUAGCUGGCAGAAGAAAUAGUCAGGUAAGUUGUUUUAUUGCAGAAAAGAAGGAAGUCAUAUAUAUGUGUGGGCUUCCAAAAUGCUUUCAAAGCAUUUUCCACACCUAAAAUGUCAAGGAAGAUUAAUUUUUAAAGAGAAGCAAAGGAGUCCCUUAUGUGAGCUGAAGACUCUGCGUCCUCUUUGAGAAGCAAACCUCCUGGGCGGGAAUACUAAUACCGUCAACAAGCCAGGGUUUUCUUGGAGACAUACAUGCGUUUUGUAUUGCAUGCUGAAGAUCUCGGGCAAUAGAGGACUCAGUUUUCCACCAUACUCUUCCCUUGUUGUCCAGUGUCCCCUUAAUGACAUUUUCAGUUAAAAACAAAAAAAA